AUGUCGGGGUUGCUUGGCACGGUGGUUGAUGCAACAAUAGGAUGGCUGGUGCAAAGCAUCCUUGACAGCUUCUUUACUGGACGUAUGGAAGCCUGGACUCGUGAAAUCGGGCUUGCUGAAGAUGUGGAGAAGCUCAAAUUUCAGAUGAGGGACGUGCAGAUGGUUCUUGCUGCUGCCGAGGGAAGAAGGAUUGACAAUAUGCCUCUGGCCCUGUCACUGGAUGAUCUCAGAGAGCUACUUUAUGAUUCAGAGGACGUGAUGGAUGAGCUUGACUACUACCGACUUGAGCAACAGAUCACAGAAGGGAAAGGUUGUAGUGCUCCUACUGGUACUAAUCUUGAGGGAAGCUAUGUGUCUUCAUCCACUCUAUCUUCUGUUGUUAAAUCAGUAUGCAGUGCCACAAGCCAAAUAACUGACUGGAUCUCACAUGGCAGAAAAAGGAAACGUGAAGAAGAGGGGCCUGCUCAUUGUAACAUGCUGCCUUUUGAGAUUAAAGAUAGCAUUUCCAAGAGGAUCAAUGUAAUAGUGAAUCUUCUAUGCAGUAAUAGCAAUUCUGUAAAGGGGGUUCUUCAGCUUGAGAACUUGCGCACCAUGGCAACAUCAAGUAAGAGUCAGAAUAUUGCCAGGGAUCAUCGCAUGACAACUUCUGUUCCGAUUGAGUCUAAGGUGUACGGACGAGAUGCAGAGAGAGACGAGAUAAUAGAUCUGUUGAUAAAGGGGGGAUUUAGUGAUCUGAAUGUUCUGCCAGUGGUUGGCAGUGGUGGUAUUGGGAAGACGACACUUGUUAGAUAUGUAUACCAUGCUAAAAGAAUUAAAGAUCAUUUUGAUUUGCUAAUAUGGGUCUGUGUAUCCACUAACUUAGAUGUAGUGGGGCUAACACUUCAGAUCCUAGAUCAUGUAUGUGAAGAUAGACCAUAUGAAAAAAAAAGCAGUUUGAAUAAAUUGCAGGAGAUACUUCAAGAAAAUAUUAGAAACAAAAGAUUUCUGCUUGUAAUGGAUGAUAUGUGGGAAGAGAAGGACAGGGGUGGAUGGAUUAAACUCUUGGCUCCAUUGAAAAGUAAUAAAGUAAAAGGUUGCAUGGUACUAGCAACAACCAGAACAAAAUCAGUGGCAAAAAUGAUAGGAACUAUGGAUGAAAUCACAUUGACUGGUCUGGAUGAGAAGGAGUUUUGGCUGUUUUUCAAGGCAUGUGCAUUUCGCAAUGACAACCGCGAGCACCAUCCUAGUUUGCAAUCUAUUGGGAAACAAAUUGCUAAAGCACUAAAAGGCUUCCCACUAGCUGCACAAAGUGUUGGUGCACUUCUGAGCACAGAAGUUAGCUAUCAGCAUUGGACGACAGUUCGGGACAAACGGAAAUCUCUUCAAGGAUAUGAUGAUGAUAUUUUACCCAUCUUGAAGCUCAGUUAUGAUUAUCUACCAGUCUACCUUCAGCGGUGUUUCUCAUACUGCUCUUUGUAUCCAGAGGACUACGGAUUUGAUGGGAAAGAAUUGGUCCAUGCCUGGAUAUCACAAAAUUUUGUGCAGUGCAAAGAUCCUACCAUAAGACUGGAGGAAACAGGGCAUGAAUAUUUGGAAAAAUUAGUGGAUUUGGGCUUCUUCCAAAAGGAUGGCUCACACUAUGUUAUGCAUGACCUAAUGCAUGUAUUGGCAGGGAUGGUUUCAUCAAAUGAGUGUGCUACUAUAGAUGGAUUGAAAUCCGGGGCAAUUCGAGCAAGUGUUCGGCAUUUGUCGAUCAUAAUUGCUGAUUAUGAUAAAGAUGAACAUGUCAGCAAUUCUAGUGAGAAGUUUGACAAAAUACUUCAGAAGGUGUCUUGGCACAAAUUGAGGACAUUGAUGUUGUUUGGGCGAAGCAGCAUACAUUUAUCAGGGCCAUUGCGUACUUUAUGCAAUGAGGCAAAAUGUUUACGGUUGCUAAGUGUGACAGGUGCUGACAUCAGCUCUAUAUACAAUUCGUCAAAUCUAUUCCAUCUUCGCUAUAUAUCAGCAUACAGAGUCAGCAACCCUGCGUUUCGUCAAGCUUUGACAAGAUGUUAUCACCUUCAAGUACUGGAUGUGGGCAUUUCGGGCAAUCUUGAUGUACCUACUGACAUGAAUAAUCUUGUGAAUCUGCGUCAUCUUAUUGCUCAUGAGAAAGUGCACCACGCAAUAGAUUGUGUCAGCAACAUGACCUCUCUUCAGGAAUUAAAAUUCAAGGUUCAAAAUGUUGGCAGUUUUGAGAUAGGACAACUUCAGUCCAUGAAUGAGCUUGUAUCACUAGGAGUUUCUCAACUUGAAAAUGUGAAGACUAAAGAAGAGGCGUGGGCAGCCAUGCUGACACACAAAGAGUAUCUAGAAACAAUGUUCUUGUCAUGGGAGAAUAGCAGCAUGAGCCUUCAACCUGAGGCUGCAGAGGAUGUGCUUGAUGGUCUUCAACCACAUCAGAACCUCAAAACUCUAGAAAUAACUGGAUAUGGUGGUGCUAUCUCCCCAACCUGGCUUUCCAGUGCCUUUUCAGUUACCUCACUGCAGAUACUUCAUCUGGAGGAGUGUAGGGAAUGGCAAAUUCUAUCUACUCAUGGAAUGCAUUCCCUUAGGAAGCUGACAUUGAUCAGGAUGUUGGAUUUAAUGGAACUCUCAGUUCCUUCCUUGGUAGAGUUGAUCCUGAUUGGCAUGCCAAAAUUGAAAAAAUGUACCGGUUCUUAUGGAAUGGAUUUGACUUCCCAUUUAAGUGUUUUGAUGAUCAAGAACUGCCCUCAACUGAAUGAGCUCACUCUUUUCCAGAGUUACUCUUCUUUCGACGCUGAGCAGAAAUCCUGGUUUCCAUCUCUCAGCAAACUGUCCAUCGGGCAGUGUCCUCAUAUAAUCAACAACUGGCCAAUCCUUCCACUAAGAGAAAUGGGGGCACUCAAGGAGUUGGAGUUGAUGGAUCUGCAUGUUGUCAGAGUGUCAAUUCCUUCUCUGGAGAAGUUGGCGUUGACUAAAAUGCCAAUCCUGGAAUAUUGCAGCAGUCUAACGACUUCUCCACCUCUCCAAUCUUCACCUCCUGAAGGAGAUCAGAAUGAAUUGGUGUCUAAUCUCCGUAGACUCACCAUCCAUGAUUGCCCAUGUUUGAUAGUGUCACAUCCUCUUCCGCCUUCUGCUCUAAUUUCUGAGUUGUCCAUCAGUGGGGUUUCGACACUUCCAACAAUGAGGAUAAACUGGAGACGUUUCACUAUCGAAUCUAAUGAGUUGUGUAUGCUGGAUGAGAGUAUCUUGGCAUUUCAUAAUCUGAGGGGUAACAUUGUUUCAAAUAAGAAGCUGUCCAAAUCUGAUCUCUCUUUCAAGUGA
This 3306-nucleotide ribosomal RNA is filed under the name Triticum aestivum (bread wheat). Its description in RNAcentral is "partial small subunit ribosomal RNA". Lineage: Eukaryota; Viridiplantae; Streptophyta; Magnoliopsida; Poales; Poaceae. The record is from RNAcentral.